UAGUCAGCGGAGGAAAAGAAACUAACCAGGAUUCCCUCAGUAACGGCGAGUGAACAGGGAAGAGCCCAGCGCCGAAUCCCCGUCCCGCGGCGGGGCGCGGGAAAUGUGGCGUACGGAAGACCCCCUCCCCGGCGCCGCUCCCUCGGGGGGCCCAAGUCCUUCUGAUCGAGGCACAGCCCGCGGACGGUGUGAGGCCGGUAGCGGCCCCCGGCGCGUCGGGACCGGGUCUUCUCGGAGUCGGGUUGCUUGGGAAUGCAGCCCAAAGCGGGUGGUAAACUCCAUCUAAGGCUAAAUACCGGCACGAGACCGAUAGUCGACAAGUACCGUAAGGGAAAGUU
Molecule: ribosomal RNA, 338 nt
Filed under: Anolis carolinensis (green anole)
Lineage: Eukaryota; Metazoa; Chordata; Lepidosauria; Squamata; Anolidae
Description: eukaryotic LSU rRNA
Rfam family: Eukaryotic large subunit ribosomal RNA
Source: RNAcentral